This 78-nucleotide non-coding RNA is filed under the name Jannaschia aquimarina. Lineage: Bacteria; Pseudomonadati; Pseudomonadota; Alphaproteobacteria; Rhodobacterales; Roseobacteraceae. The record is from RNAcentral.
CGACAGGAUCGAGGGGAUUUGUCUCCGGCUUGCGGCCCUCGCUAAACAUACCGCUAAAGAGGGUGGGGCCCGGCCUGA